UCGACCCUCCGAACCUCCCCCGACCUGCCUCGGCUCUCAGCUCCAUCUCCCCACGGCCCACGACCUCGUCCCGACGGUUCCUCCACCCCCGCGCGCUCCUCCUCCUCCACCCCCCGCCGCCUACCCCGGCGCGCCCCUGCCUCCUCCUCCGCCCCGCGCGCUCCCCCUCCUUCUCCGCCCCCGCCGCCUGCCGGAGAUAAGUGGAGUUCCGGCGGCCGCGGAUCCGGCUAUCGUGGCCUACGAGGAGUUCGUCGCGGAGGCAGUCGGGCGGCUCACGGUAGCCGCCGAGAAGAUCGGCGGGAAGGUGCUCGACGCCACCAAGCUUCUUACCGAGGUCUUCGCCGUCGCCAAUGCAAGGACCUGCUCGUCCAGGCCAAGCAGCUCCAGAUACGGGACAGUCGCGCUUCCCUCCUCAGUUGCGUCGAAUGCGCUCCGCGUGUAGAUCUCCGCGUGUUCUGCCCAUCAGAUGCCUCCUUUCCUCCACGACUUCCUCCCUUGCUCCGGGACGCCGGGGUUCCAGGGAGAUCAGGCGGCUGAACUACGGCCUACGGGUAGGAACGAGGAGGUCUGGCCCACCGCACGGAGGCACUGGAGCCCUACGCGUCACUGCCAUCAUCGCCGGCAGCUGCAACAUCCUCGCCAUCUGUGAUGACAGCCGCUUGCAUCCGCUUCCCAACAGCCCUUCGUGUUUAUUCAUCGCGAGCUUGUGUUCUGACCUGGUUGGUUGUGUUUCCUUGCCGUGCGCAGCUCUUCACGUGGGUGGACCUGCGAGGAUCUCAGCUUGAUGUUCUUUGAGCUUUCAGAUCUUUUGCUGAAGCAUAAAUAGAACUCCAGCCAAUGAAAUAAAUUUGAUAUUUUUUGUUACUCAAGUGACAAAUUCAUUUGCUGCACUCCGAUUGAUGACUACUGGGAAGCCAGCGCUGCUGUUCAGCCAUUAUCAAUGGGGAGUACGAAGCAGCACAUCAAACAAGCUCGUCAGCAUGUGAAGGUUCAUCUUCUCAAGGCUGCAGGAAGUUCUUAUGAGUUAUGCCCAUUCUUACUCUAUGGCAAUCCUGGCAGCAGUCCCGUGGCUUAAUUUGUCACCUCUUUAUUGCACUACCAUCAAACCAUGAGAAGGUGCACUGCAGCAUUACUUUUCAUUUGUCUCCAUAUCCAAUAUGGUCAUUGUGGCUGUCUAACCAAAGGCGAGUAAAGGUAUGGCUGUGAAACAAGGAACUACCGCUGGACACUCUUUCCUAGCCAGAGAUUAUUGUGCAGUGGAAUAGCUUACUGGUGGCCCAUGUUCUACUGCCCAGGCAUGGCUCUCUUGGAGUGUCGUCGAUUGGUGAUCAUGGCUAAAGACUGGGGACAUUGUCAAGGAAGACAACCGGGUCCAUGCUCAUCAUGGCCUCUACUAUAGGGAGAUCCUCCUCGAACGCCCCUGUGCCCCUAGGUUAUCAGGCGGAAGAUUACCUUCGGUGCGCAGCUUCUAGAACCUGGACUUGUGUUUGCUAAUUGCUCAUAUUCUAAUUGAGUUAAAUAUGUUUCGUGCACAUGCCUAAUUAAACGAUAGUUUAGAACCGAUGGAGUAAUAUAAAUCGGUGUGUUGGUA
Long non-coding RNA from Panicum hallii, 1591 nucleotides. RefSeq lists it as uncharacterized. The transcript has 5 exons. Lineage: Eukaryota; Viridiplantae; Streptophyta; Magnoliopsida; Poales; Poaceae. The record is from RefSeq and is a predicted model, not a curated record.